RNAcentral lists this transfer RNA (75 nucleotides) under Microcaldota archaeon. RNAcentral describes it as "Candidatus Micrarchaeota archaeon (hot springs metagenome) tRNA-Arg". It matches the Rfam family "tRNA". From Rfam's summary of the family: Transfer RNA (tRNA) molecules are approximately 80 nucleotides in length. Their secondary structure includes four short double-helical elements and three loops (D, anti-codon, and T loops). Further hydrogen bonds mediate the characteristic L-shaped molecular structure. tRNAs have two regions of fundamental functional importance: the anti-codon, which is responsible for specific mRNA codon recognition, and the 3' end, to which the tRNAs corresponding amino acid is attached (by aminoacyl-tRNA synthetases). tRNAs cope with the degeneracy of the genetic code in two manners: having more than one tRNA (with a specific anti-codon) for a particular amino acid; and 'wobble' base-pairing, i.e. permitting non-standard base-pairing at the 3rd anti-codon position. The record is from RNAcentral. Lineage: Archaea; Nanobdellati; Microcaldota.
GGGCCCGUGGCGCAACUUGGAUAGCGCGGCAGGCUUCGGACCUGAAGGUUGAGGGUUCAAAUCCCUCCGGGCCCG